ACAGCAGCUUCCUGCAGCCCUCCCUCCUGUCUUGUUUCUCCCUUAAUUGAGAGGAGAGGCCAGAACCAGAUGCAGGCAGUUCCAACAGUAAUGAAUUGCUCUAAGGUGUGGAUCCAAGAACCGGUGACAAGGUCAGGAAAUUCCAUCCCGGGACACUGACCCAACUAAGAGACUGUGCAUGAUGGCUAAGUUCAGAGCUCUGAGGAGAUGGUAAAACUCAUUUGCAACGAAACAAGAUAUUUUCCAACUCUGCAGCCAGAAACCAUCCUCCUGGCUGUCUCACCAUCAGCGCCACCUCUCCGUGGGUCUGGAGUCUUGAGGAGCCAGGACUGGACUGGGAUGUAAGGUUGGGUCUUCCGAGCUGUAGAUGGGAGCAGGAAGAUGUAUCUCCAUUCACGAUCUCAGUACAAGGCUCAGCUAUCUCCCGGCAACUCGCCCAUCAUCUGUUUCUGAGUUCUUCUGACAUACAGGUUCUUUGGAGGCGGCAUCAAGAAAAUACAUUUGGACAAAUCCUUCAUCUCAAAUAUUUUCCCCUCAUGAAACCAAAGGCAUUGCUCCAAAGUCAUUUCCAUUAAUUAGACAUGCAUCUUGUAUGACUGAAGGAGAAUCUAGUCCACAAACUCUGGGUUAAUUUUCUCUUCUGACAUCUGUGUGUAGUGUUUCUCUGAGGAGCUGAAUUAUCUGCUCUCCAGUGCCUUCCUCUCGGUGUUUUUUGGCCAGGAGCAAGGAGACAGGCAGCUGCAUUCUGGGAGCAGCAAGCAAUUCUGAGAACUGGAGCUGCUUAGGUUCUUUCACUUCUGCUUCAAAGGAAUACGUUGAGUUUGCAGAGAAUGAAGGAGAGAAAGACUCCAAGUUCCAAGCAGGGUCUUGGGGUAGUCUCUGAGCAUCCCAAUGUACUUACUUCCUCCCCACAGCUUCCUCACUGGGCUCCCAGCCACCAGUAUUUGUCUCUUUAAUCCCCCAACACAGAGCUACUAGAUGGAUUUCUUUCUUUCUUUUUUGUUUCUUUCUUUCGAUCGAUUUCUCUUUCUUUCUUUCUUUCUCUUUCCUUCUUUCUUUUCUUUCCUUUUCUUUUCUUUCUUUCUUUUUCUUUCUUUUACAUCUUCCUUCCUUCCUUGCUUCCUUUCUCUCUCUUUUUCUUUCUUUUAUGGUUUUUUUUUUGUUGUUGUUGUUGUUGUUUUUAGACAGUCUUGCUCUGUCACCCAGGCUGGAGUGCAGUGGUGCAAUCUCGGCUCACUGAAGUCUCAACCUCCUAGGCUCAAACAGUCCUCCAACUUCAGCCUCCCAAGUAGCUGAGACUACAGAUCAGCAAUCUGGCUAAUUAAAAAAAAAUUUUUUUUAGAGAUGGGGUCUUACUAUGUUGCCCAGUCUGGUCUUGAACUCCUAGCCUCAAACAGUCAUCCUCCCUUAGCCUCCUAAAGUGCCGUGAUUAUAGGCGUGAGCCACCAUGCCCAGCUGGAUUUUUUCUUUUAACUGUAGUUUUAUCAUGUUCUUUUUGCUUAAAAUAAACUUUUCUGAAGUA
RNAcentral lists this long non-coding RNA (1522 nucleotides) under Homo sapiens (human). RNAcentral's name for it is "HSALNT0397109". The record is from RNAcentral. Lineage: Eukaryota; Metazoa; Chordata; Mammalia; Primates; Hominidae.